UUCAAUGAUGAUAUAUUAUUUUUACUAUUUUUCUGGUACCUCUUGUUUUAGGACCCUCUGCGGAGGGAACAAUGAACUCACGACACAUCUGAUU
RNAcentral lists this small nucleolar RNA (94 nucleotides) under Sclerotinia sclerotiorum 1980 UF-70. RNAcentral's name for it is "a. fumigatus snoRNA Afu_264". Lineage: Eukaryota; Fungi; Ascomycota; Leotiomycetes; Helotiales; Sclerotiniaceae. The record is from RNAcentral.